GGAACAAGUUAGGGAACCACUGAUCCAGAACAAGUACAGCACAGACAGUGGCAGUGCAAGCUUUCCUACCCUACUCCGGCACGCUUCAACCUUAUUCUGAAAGGAAUCACUACUAUGGGUAAACAGAUAGACUGGUCUUCAUGCCCAUUUAAUCCUUCACCUGC
Molecule: unclassified non-coding RNA, 164 nt
Organism: Chelonoidis abingdonii (Abingdon island giant tortoise)
Lineage: Eukaryota; Metazoa; Chordata; Testudines; Testudinidae
Source: Ensembl